RNAcentral lists this ribosomal RNA (433 nucleotides) under uncultured bacterium. RNAcentral describes it as "partial 16S ribosomal RNA". It matches the Rfam family "Bacterial small subunit ribosomal RNA", at positions 29 to 507 of the family's 1533-position model. The record is from RNAcentral.
AACGAACGCUGGCGGCAGGCCUAACACAUGCAAGUCGAGCGGACCCUUCGUGGUUAGCGGCGGACGGGUGAGUAACGCGUGGGAAUAUGCCCUUCUCUACGGAAUAGUCCUGGGAAACUGGGGGUAAUACCGUAUACGCCCUUUGGGGGAAAGAUUUAUCGGGGAAGGAUUAGCCCGCGUUGGAUUAGGUAGUUGGUGGGGUAAUGGCCUACCAAGCCGACGAUCCAUAGCUGGUUUGAGAGGAUGAUCAGCCACACUGGGACUGAGACACGGCCCAGACUGCUACGGGAAGCAGCAGUGGGGAAUCUUAGACAAUGGGGGCAAACCUGAUAUAGCCAUGCGGCGUGAGUGAUGAAGGCCUUAGGGUUGUAAAGCUCUUUCAGCUGGGAAGAUAAUGACGGUACCAGCAGAAGAAGCACCGGCUAACUACGUG